RNAcentral lists this long non-coding RNA (541 nucleotides) under Monodelphis domestica (gray short-tailed opossum). Its description in RNAcentral is "lncRNA (ENSMODG00000028978.2)". Lineage: Eukaryota; Metazoa; Chordata; Mammalia; Didelphimorphia; Didelphidae. The record is from RNAcentral.
CAGGGCAGUUUUCCUUGAUAAUCUUUCUUUCUUUCUUUCUUUCUUUCUUUCUUUCUUUCUUUCUUUCUUUCUUUCUUUCUUUCUUUCUUUCUUUCUUUCUUUCUUUCUUUCUUUCUUUCUUUCUUUCUUUCUUUCUUUCUUUCUUUCUCUCUUUCAUUCUUUCUCUCUUUCAUUCUUUCUCUCUUUCUUCCUUUCUUUCUUCCUUCCUUCCUUCCUUCCUUCCUUCCUUCCUUCCUUCCUUCCUUCCUUCCUUCCUUCCUUCCUUCCUUCCUUCCUUCCUUCCUUCCUUCCUUCCUUCCUUCCUUCCUUUCUUUCUUUCUUUCUUUCUUUCUUUUCCUUCCUUCCUUCCUUCCUUCCUUCUAUCCUUCCUUCCUUCCUUCCUUCCUUCCUUCCUUCCUUCCUUCCUUCCUUCCUUCCUUCCUUCCUUCCUUCCUUCUUUCCUUCCUUCCUUCCUUCCUUCCUUCCUUCCUUCCUUUCUUCCUUUCCUCUAUUUCUUCCUUCCUUCCAUUUCUUCCUUCUUUCCUUCUGUAUUCAAAUAUGG